This 77-nucleotide transfer RNA is filed under the name Thiohalorhabdus denitrificans. RNAcentral's name for it is "tRNA_Pro_CGG". It matches the Rfam family "tRNA". Rfam says of the family: Transfer RNA (tRNA) molecules are approximately 80 nucleotides in length. Their secondary structure includes four short double-helical elements and three loops (D, anti-codon, and T loops). RNAcentral also lists the same sequence under 1 other name. Lineage: Bacteria; Pseudomonadati; Pseudomonadota; Gammaproteobacteria; Thiohalorhabdales; Thiohalorhabdaceae. The record is from RNAcentral.
CGGGGUGUAGCUCAGCCUGGCAGAGCACCGCCUUCGGGAGGCGGGGGCCGGUGGUUCGAAUCCGCCCACCCCGACCA